Molecule: non-coding RNA, 3909 nt
Organism: Megalopta genalis
Lineage: Eukaryota; Metazoa; Arthropoda; Insecta; Hymenoptera; Halictidae
Source: RefSeq, a predicted model, not a curated record
UUGAAUUUUUUCAUUUAAAAUUGAAUUGAAAAAAUGAUACUAUUCAAUAGGAACCAAGCGGCGCCUCUGACCAUGACAUAUGAAUUCUAUUUCUCGUCGUACUACACGCCACGCGAACUCGACGCAUCUAUCAACUCAGUUUUUUCGAAAACGAAGCCUUAAGUGAAAAAAUGUUCUUUUCUCUUCGACUUAUUUUUCCAUGUAGAAUCACUAUCCGGACAGAUGUACCAAGAUUUUCGGUACACCCUGUAUAAUAAUAGAUCUAAAUACAUUCGCGCGCGACUCCUACACGGUUGAGGCAUGAAAUAUUCAUGAGAUUGAAAAUUUACAGGAAUCAUUCAUUGUGACUACACAAGGGAUGCGGUUGGAAAUGCUUCAAGUUCCAUAGAAAGAGUAUCUAUUUAAAAAAGAAGAGGGUAUCUAGAAAAGGAUUUAUCUAUCUAACGAAUGAGCUAAUGUAAUUUAUAGGUAGCGAAAGGAUUAACACGUGCGUCAUUCAGGAAGGAAGAAGCUUUGGUUCGAUACAGAUUGAAGGUUCUAGGAAGAGAGAACGAGUUCGAGGGAAACGCUCGACGAUGCUCGCUAGGUGGAAACACAUUGUUCCGAAUAAAUCGAGUAACCCAAAUAAACCGGUACGGCGUAAAAAGCACGAUUAAUUUGCGAGCGAGCGCGUUCGGGGAAAUCAACGCAGUGGAUUUCCAGGGAGACACGAGGCGCGGUGCGAACGCGUUACCGUCCCUGAAAAAAGAGAUUGCUCUUCCUAAAAAUGCAUGCUGCACGCUGCACGCAGCGCGCGGCGAACGACGCGUCGAGGUCGAGACAGAUUGCCGCAGGACAGUUACUAGUUGCAACAUUCCGUAUGUUGCAACGUGUUUAGUGUUUUCGUCCGUAUUCAAGGCGAUACGGUGCCGUUUAUUUCUGGCUUUGUUAUCGGGAGUCGGUCUUUCGGCGCUAACAAUCAUCGAGAAUAGAAGAGACGGAAUAAACGUUAAGCGGUAAAUCAUCACUUCGGACUGGUUCAGACAGGUCAUCUCGAGAACAACGAAUCCCGUUUUUAGAAAUAACAAAACGAAAUACAAAAUUGUACACUGUUCUACCAACGGUUUAUUUCGAAGCGUUCCGUAUACAUGCUCCGCGUUCGACGCGAUGUGCAGAGGCAGAUCGUUGCGCACACGCGCAACGUCGUACGCCCACGUUAUUAUCGAGCAAACGGGCAACGAAGAUAGAACAAAGAAAUCCGAAUCUUUUCGGUGGAUCUUCCCUUCGUUUCGUUUUCCCGAUCAGAUACGCCGUUGUUCUCUUCUUCUUCUUCAGGGAUUUCCUAUAUUCUCGAGGCACGCUCUCGGUUAUGGGACACCGUAUCCUACGUUGACGGCCGAGCACUUGUUUUCAUUUUCAUUUCGCCGAGCUACCUCGUACUGAUCCCUUCUAACGAGGUCAGCCAAUUACGAGUUUCUGGUCCCGCAACGGUUCAUUUUCCGUGGACCGAAACGAUUUUGUCCACUUCUUCUUUUCUUUUCUUUUUCUCACGGAAACGGAAACCAACAAUGAUCGCGACAACGAAAACUACAAGGAAAAAGGAAUUACCUGUGGCCUAACUCGCGUUUAUCAGUUCGUGUACCCUGUCUGUCGCCCUCGUUGUAGCAAUCCAGUUCAUUUUCCGUGGACCAAAACGAUUUUGUCCACUUCUUCUUUUCUCUUUUUUUUCUCACGGAAACGGAAACCAACAAUGAUCGCGACAACGAAAACUACAAGGAAAAAGGAAUUAUCUGUGGCCUAACUCGCAUUUAUCAGUUCGUGUACCCUGUCUGUCGCCCUCGUUGUAGCAAUCCAGUUCAUUUUCCGUGGACCAAAACGAUUUUGUCCACUUCUUCUUUUCUUUUCUUUUUCUCACGGAAACGGAAACCAACAAUGAUCGCGACAACGAAAACUACAAGGAAAAAGGAAUUAUCUGUGGCCUAACUCGCAUUUAUCAGUUCGUGUACCCUGUCUGUCGCCCUCGUUGUAGCAAUCCAGUUCAUUUUCCGUGGACCAAAACGAUUUUGUCCACUUCUUCUUUUCUUUUUUUUUUCUCACGGAAACGGAAACCAGCAAUGAUCGCGACAACGAAAACUACAAGGAAAAGGUAAUUACCUGUGGCCUAACUCGCGUUUAUCAGUUCGUGUACCCUGUCUGUCGCCCUCGUUGUAGCAAUCCAGGUCCUGCUCGCUACGAUCGUUCCUGGUCAUGGCAUUCAAAUCAAAACCGAGGAUCGACGGGUGAAACGACUCCCCAGGAAAGAUGUCGGGCUCAUCCGAGAAUUGAAUUUUCCAGCCUGCUUUCAACAACAUUUCAAUUUCAUGAUUAACUGGCCGGGUUGGUUUAGCUCGAGUCAACCGGAAGACGUUUCAAACGAAGUCAAGACGAUUCAACUAAUGAUAAUGUUUGCUUCGUGACAGGGUGUAGAGUUUCCCCCUAUUUAUUUUUGCUAGUUUGUACAUCGUUCGCGACUCUGAAUGACGACUUGGAAUUCAUUUUUUCGUAAGAACGAUAAACGAACGAAGAGAAAUCAAAUAUAGAUCGAAAUGAUUCAAUGGAAAAUAGCAAGCAAAUAAACAGUAGACAUAUGGUGGAAAUAUCUCUGGACAGAAUUGAUACAUAAUUAUGCAAAUAUUAUUUUGAUAUCGUCCGUAUUCUAUUUUCCAUUUUCUAUCAUCUAUUUUCAAUAUUCUACGUUCUAUGUUCCCCUCGGUGGGUACGAUCUUCGUCAAAUGAAUCUCAACGAAAUGCAGAAUACAAAUUGAAAGAAAAAAUUACCGGUCUUGAUUAGAGGCGCGAGCUCGUCCACAUUUCGGCGGCUCAUCGUGAAGCAGUUGGGAGAACUUGAUAACGAAAUCACUGGUCCGACGAUGUUUCACACUUUUGCGUGUUUUGCGUGCAGCACGGCGAUGCGAACAGUGACGACGUAGUGAUCGAUUGCUAAUGAAGAUUUUGGGCUGCUUCGCUCGCAGCCGACACAAUACUUGGCAAAUACUUGGCCGGAAUAGCAACAAAGAUAAGAAGGUUGCAGGGGUCAUUCAUGUGACGAUAAUAGGCAGGAAGGAAAAAUACACAGAGCGAGGGCAAUGUCGUCAGUGAUGAAAGAAAGAGACAACUCCAUUUUACCAUACAAUAAAAAGGGGAGAAGUUCGAUGCGAUGAGAAGUGCAUCUUGCAGUGUAUUGUCUUGUUGUGUUCUUGCACCGUGUAAACGGGGAAAUUCUGAAUGGGUUUUAAUCUUCGCCUAACUCAGCCCUGGAUCGUUUCUAUAUUAUACUUUGUCGGUAAAGGAACAAAAAUCAAAAAUCAAAAAUAAAGACCGCGGAACAAAACUUGAAAUUAUUUUCCUUCCUUUGGUCGGAUAGAGUUUCCGACGACAUGCGAAUAUGUUCGAAUUUGUUUUGAUAAUGCGCGACGGUCAUCGUUGCGUAACAAAAUUUCAACGAUCUCUUUUAUGCUCGGAAAUGCGGAGGAAAUACAGGGGAAAUACCGGAGGAAAUAAGGAGAAAUUUGGAACCGGAUCCCCGCAGCGAAUCGAUAAGCCGUGGGCGUAGAUAACAUACCGGAUGUGCAUAUUAUAAUAUACAACGAACAAUAAUAUAAUAAGUUGAUUAACUCGAGCAACGUCCGGCAGAAAAUAUUUUCACGAUUCGAACGACUAUGAAACCGGAUAGCAAAAAUUAGUCAUUUCAACCAAUCCGGUAGUUCUAAUGUUAAGUUGAACAAGUUAUUUUCGUGCAUGUGAUCGAGCCGCUUCUGACAGUGCGUAGGUGGUUUCGGCUGGCCUUGAACAUCUUAUGAAUAAUAUCAUCGAAAAUGUGGUCGCUUUCUGCGCGGUACAUGUGUAGAUAGCAGGCUUUUAGCAAUAAACGUACGCACACAGUUUUUCUGA